GACGUAGGGCGCGAGCGUUGUCCGGAUUUAUUGGGCGUAAAGAGCUUGUAGGCGGUUUGUCGCGUCUGCUGUGAAAUUUCGGGGCUCAACCCCGAACUUGCAGUGGGUACGGGCAGGCUAGAGUGUGGUAGGGGAGACUGGAAUUCCUGGUGUAGCGGUGAAAUGCGCAGAUAUCAGGAGGAACACCGAUGGCGAAGGCAGGUCUCUGGGCCACUACUGACGCUGAGAAGCGAAAGCAUGGGGAGCGAACAGG
This 253-nucleotide ribosomal RNA is filed under the name uncultured bacterium. Its description in RNAcentral is "partial 16S ribosomal RNA". It matches the Rfam family "Bacterial small subunit ribosomal RNA", at positions 524 to 776 of the family's 1533-position model. The record is from RNAcentral.